GAUGAACGCUGGCGGCGUGCCUAAUACAUGCAAGUCGAGCGAACGGACGAGAAGCUUGCUUCUCUGAUGUUAGCGGCGGACGGGUGAGUAACACGUGGAUAACCUACCUAUAAGACUGGGAUAACUUCGGGAAACCGUAGCUAAUACCGGAUAAUAUUUUGAACCGCAUGGUUCAAAAGUGAAAGACGGUCUUGCUGUCACUUAUAGAUGGAUCCGCGCUGCAUUAGCUAGUUGGUAAGGUAACGGCUUACCAAGGCAACGAUGCAUAGCCGACCUGAGAGGGUGAUCGGCCACACUGGAACUGAGACACGGUCCAGACUCCUACGGGAGGCAGCAGUAGGGAAUCUUGCGCAAUGGGCGAAAGCCUGACGGGGCAACGCCGCGUGAGUGAUGAAGGUCUUCGGAUCGUAAAACUCUGUUAUUAGGGAAGAACAUAUGUGUAAGUAACUGUGCACAUCUUGACGGUACCUAAUCAGAAAGCCACGGCUAACUACGUG
This 497-nucleotide ribosomal RNA is filed under the name uncultured bacterium. RNAcentral describes it as "partial 16S ribosomal RNA". It matches the Rfam family "Bacterial small subunit ribosomal RNA", at positions 28 to 507 of the family's 1533-position model. The record is from RNAcentral.